Molecule: long non-coding RNA, 235 nt
Filed under: Capsicum annuum
Lineage: Eukaryota; Viridiplantae; Streptophyta; Magnoliopsida; Solanales; Solanaceae
Description: long non-coding RNA (CANN_LNC012570)
Source: RNAcentral
UGUGUUAUAGAAGUUCAAAUAGGCCAUUAGAUGGUCCAUUUCUAACAUUAUCGAAAUUCCACCUGGAAUUUGUACUCAUAAAAUCUAGCUUGAGAUAGAAGGUAUACCUAGAGUUAAGAAUCAAUGAAGAUUGAACCCACCAAUGGAAGAGGUUGUGAAGGAAUAGAUGUAGGAGUGGUUUAUCCUAUCACCGAUAGCAAAUGGGCGGGCUCAAUUAAAUGUAUGACAAAGAGGG